RNAcentral lists this long non-coding RNA (383 nucleotides) under Rattus norvegicus (Norway rat). Its description in RNAcentral is "long non-coding RNA NONRATT009180". The record is from RNAcentral. Lineage: Eukaryota; Metazoa; Chordata; Mammalia; Rodentia; Muridae.
GUCAGAGACAGCAAGAACAGCUUACAUCAGAGAUAACCAGAUGGCGAGAGGCAAGUGCAAGAACAUAAGCAACAGAAACCAAGGCUACGUGGCAACACCAGAACCCAGUUCUCCCAGCACAGCAAGUCCUGGAUACCCUGACACACCGGAAAAGCAAGAUUCCGGUUUAAAAUCACAUCUCAUGAUAGAGGACUUUACGAAGGGCAUACAUAACUCCCUUAAAGAAAUUCAGGAGAACAGAGGUAAACAAGUAGAAGCCCUUAAAGAGGAAACACAAAAAUCCCUUAAAGAAUUACAGGAAAACACAACCAAACAGGUGAAGGAAUUGAACAAAACCAUCCAGGAUCUAAAAAUGGAAAUAGAAACAAUAAAGAAAUCACAAA